This 9506-nucleotide long non-coding RNA is filed under the name Homo sapiens (human). Its description in RNAcentral is "non-protein coding lnc-EGLN2-2:1". Lineage: Eukaryota; Metazoa; Chordata; Mammalia; Primates; Hominidae. The record is from RNAcentral.
AUCCUGCGGACCCCACACCCUGCCCCUGCUGGACUCAGUUGGCUGACCUCGCCCCAGGGGCUGCUCAUGAUUUGAAAGUUGUCAUUGAUAAGGCGGAUAAUGGUGAGCAGACGCUCAUCAUCAUAGUCGAAGCGGCUGCCGAAGAGCACGGAACAGAUAAUGUUGGACCGUGAGCGACUCAGCACAAACGUGGGGUCAAAGGGCUCGCCUGAGGGUGAAGAAUGGAAUGGGUCAGGAAGACGCGAUGUGCAGCACACCAGACCUCAUGCAGCAACACCAUUAAUUUGCACAACAUCCGACUCAACCAUGGCAACGUGUCUUACGGUGCAAACACGGGCACAUGGUCACAACAUGCUGCUUAACAACACCCCAAAAGCAUCUGUCAAUGCCACAGACAGCACCGAACCCACAGCUUCCUGCAGCACAUCGACAGCAACAACGCCCAACCACAGAACAGGUUGGCAACACACACACAGCACGCGACAUAGCACAAGGCAAUCAUCAGGCAUCACGGAACACAACAACACAGGGCAACAGAACACCCAGCAAAUACGAUCACAGUACAUGCCAACACACGACACGCAGUGACCUAAUAGCCAGCCCGGAAACAUCCCAAGACACGGUAACCACACACCAACACGUAAUGCCAGCAUACCGCUACAUAAUCCUGCCACACAACACACGCUAGUACACAGCAACCCAGCAGACAGCACAGAACACACGAUGUGGCAUCACAACACAUACAGUCAAGGCAGCAGAACAAAGGACACACUAUGCAGCAACGCAACAACGUUGGCAGCCAGCAGAUGACACAAUGCAAAAUCACAUGCAGUGCCUGACAACUCUACAAUCUCACCCAGAAAUAUCUCAACACAACACGUAGCAUCUGGCCGUCCAACAGCUGAACAGACCAUAGUAAAUACUGAACAACACAUUUCUUUCUUUCCUUUUUUCGAGAUGAAAUCUCGCUCCGUCGCCCAUGCUGGAGUGCGGUGGCACGAUCUCAGUUCACUGCAACGUCUGCCUCCCAGGUUCAAGAGAUUCUCCUGCCUCAGCCUCCCAAUGAGCUGAGAUCACACCCGGCUAAUUUUUUUGUAUUUUUAGUAGAGAUGGGGAUUCACCAUGUUGUCCAGACUGGUCUCGAACUCCUGACCUCAAGUGAUGUGCCCACCUUGGCUUCCCAAAGUGCUAAGAUUAUAGGCAUGAGCCACCGCGCCUGGUCUAGUUUUUGUAUUUUUUGUAGAUACAGGGUUUCACCAUGUCGCCCAGGCCGGUUUCGAAUUCCUGAGCUCAAGUGAUCCACCACCUUGGCCUCCCAAAGUGCUAGGAUUACAGGCGUGAGCCACCAUGCCCGGCCAAAACAGCAUAUUUCAACACAGCACCCAGGACACAAUAGCACAGCCCAAAAAACCAGAUCUGGAGUUAGAUGGACGCGGUUUGAAUCCUCGUUGGUCUCUUAGCCUUGGUGUGACUUGGGCAAACUGACUUCCUUUUUCCGAGCCUCAGUCUUCUCAUCUGUAAAAUGGGCCUGAUGGCACUCCUCUCAUCCUGGGGCUACUAUAAGGAGUCAGUGAGUGUGUGACUGGGAGUCAGUGAAGGGCCUGACCCAUUGCAAGGCUGUUACAGAUCAUGGUGUUGUGGCAGGUUGUAAUGCCCCCCAAAAGAUGUCCAGGUCCUUAUCCUUACAACCUGUGAAUUUGUUACCUUACAUGGUAAAAAGGACCUUGCAGGUGGGAUUAAGUUGAGGAUUUUGAGAUGAGAAGUUUACUCUAGACUGUCUGGCUGGGCCUAAUGUAAUCACAGGGAUCCUUUUUAGAGGGAGGCAGGAGGGACUGAGUAAGAAAAGAUAAUGUAGGCUGGGUGUGGUGGGUCACACCUGUAAUCCCAGAAUAUAUUGGGAGGUUGAGGAAGGAGGAUUGCUUGAGCACAGGAGUUUGAGACUAGCCUGGGCAACAUAGCAAGACUCCCUCUCUAUAAAAAGUUAAAAGAAUGAGUUGAAUGUGGUGGCACAUGCCUGUAAUCCCAGCUACUUGAGAAGCUAAGGCGGGAGAAUCAGUUGAGCUCAGGAGGUCAAGGCUGCAGUGAGCCAAGACCAUACCACUGCACUCCAGCCUGGGCAACAAGAGUGAAGCUUCAUUUCAAACAAACAAACAAACAAUCAAACAAGUAAACAAACAGACCCCAAACUAUUAUUUUACUUCUGGGGCCCAGAAUUCCAAAAUCAGCUUCACUGGGAUAAAGUCAAGGUGUCAGCAGGGCUGGUACCUCCUGGAGCCUUGAUAAGAGGAUCCAUUUCCUCGCCUUUUCAGCUUCUGGUCGCCCCUUUAUUCCUUUGUGCGAAGCCCCUUCAUCCAUCUUCAAAGCACAUCACUCCAGUCUCUGCUUCCAUCCUCACAUUGUCUCUCUCUGGCUCUUCCUGCACUCCUCUUUUUUUAAAAUUAAUAUUGCCACAUUAUUUUAAAUUAUGUACAAAGACCUAACAUGUCACUCAGGGACCAUUUCACCCACUGCUCUAUUUAGCCGCCAGUCUCUUCAGCAAUGGUGAGGGUUUGGUGUACACAUUAUUUCAUCACCCAGGUAAUAAGCAUAGCACCCGACAGGUAGUUUUUCGGUCCUCACCCUCCUCCCAUCUUACCCUCAAGUAGGCCCUGCUGUUUGUUGUUCCCUUUUUUGUGUCAAUGUGUAGUCAAUGUUCAGCUCCCACCUAUAAGUGAGAACCUGUGGUGUCUGGUUUUCUGUCCCUGCAUUAGUUCACUUAGGAUAGUGGCUUCCAGCUCCAUCUAUGUUGCUGCAAAAGACAUUAUCUUGUUCCUUUUUAUGGCUGUGUAGUAUUCCAUGGUGUAUAUAUACCACAUUUUCUGUCUUUCUCCUUCCUUCCUUCCUUCCUUCAUUCCUUCUCUCUCUCUCUCUUUCUUUCUUUCAGACAGAGUCUUGCUCUGUUGCCCAGGCUGGAAUGCAGUGGUGUGAUCUCAUCUCACUGCAACUUCUGCCUCCUGGGUUCAAGUGACUUCUCCUGCCUGAGCCUCCCAAGUAGCUGGGAAUACAGGUGCCCGCUACUAUGCCUGGCUAAUUUUUUUGUAUUUUUAGUAGAGACGGGGUUUCACCAUGUUGGACAGGCUUGGUCUCGAACUACCGACCUCACGUAAUCCACCCACCUUGGCCUCCCAAAGUGCUGGGAUUACAGGCGUGAGUCACCACGCCCAGCCCACAUUUUCUUUAUCCAGUCUACCACUGAUGGGCAUUUAGGUUGAUUCCACAUCUUUGCUAUUGUGAACAGUGCUGCUGUGAACAAAGGUGUGCACGUGUCUUCAUGGUAGAACGAUUGAUAUUCCUUUGUGUAUAUACUCAAUAAUGAGAUUGCUGGGUCGGAUGGUAGUUCUAUUUUAAGUUUUUUUAGAAAUCACCAAACUACUUUUCACAGUGGCUCUUGGCUUAAAUUUGGAAGCAGAGGUACACUCCCUUUACACCUGAUUUUUAAAUUUCUUUUCUCCUUGAUCAGAUAAUAUGUUGACACUAUCCAAAAUUCAAAAGAUACAAAAUGAUGGAAAGUGAAAUUUCUUCAACCCAGUUUCCCUUGCCAAGUUGAUACUAAUGUUACCAGUUUCCAGGUUAUUCCAUACACAAAUAUACAAAUAGUAACUUACUAUAUCCACUGUAUCUGUCAGGUUGGGUUGGAAUUUUUUUUCUUUUUCUUUUAAGACCGUCUCACUCUGUCUUUCAGGCUGCAGUGCAGUAGGGCAAUCUUGGCUCACUGCGACCUCUGCCUCCCGGGCUCAAGUGAUUCUUGGGCCUCAGCCUCCUGAGUAGCUGAGAUUACAGGUGUGUGCCACCACACCUGGCUAUUUUUUGUAUUUUUAGUAGAGACAGGGUCUUGCCAUGUUGGCCAAGCUGGUCUUGAAUUCCUGGUCUCAUGAUCUGCCCACCUCAGCCUCCCAAAGUGUUGGGAUUAGAGGUGUGAGCUCCUGGCCAUUGUGCUGGGUAUUCUAUUUGCCCUACCAUCUCCACUCUCCACCAUGACCUGUCUUUUAGAAGGGUGGCCUCUAUAAACUGUACCACCCAUGCUCCCUUCACCUCUACAUUAAAAAAAUUUUUGGGUUUGGCCAAUGGAAGUUUGAGAGAAGAGCAAUGUCAGAUUAUUUUGCUUGGCUGUGUGAUAGCAAUGGUUGUAUUCCUCUGCCAGAAACCAUGCCCUCCUGCUGGGGGCUCUCUUUUACCCCUAUACAAUCAGUCUCGGUUUCGGAAACUACUCCCUCUCACUGCACCUUUCAACCUAAGGAUGAUGAUGGCGUCUCCUUAUUGUAAGCCAUAGAGUGCUUCAACGUCUUGUAGGGUUCUUUCACACUGCCCUCCACUUUGUAAAAAGUCCCUCCAUUGGCCAGGCGCGGCGGCUCACACCUGUAAUCCCAGCACUUUUGGAGGCCGAGGCGGGCGGAUGACGAGGUCAGGAGAUCGAGACCUUCCUGGCUAACAUGGUGAAACCCUGUCUCUACUAAAAACACAAAAAAUUAGCCGGGCGUGGUGGCGGGUGCCUGUAGUUCCAGCUACUCGGGAGGCUGAGGCAGGAGAAUGGCCUGAACCCGGGAGGCGAAGCUUGCAGUGAGCUGAGAUCGCGCAAUUGCACUCCAGCCUGGGCGAAACAGCGAGACUCCGACUCAAAAAAAAAAGUCCCUCCAUUAAGCACUCAUAUUUUUCUGCUGGGGUUCUGAUGGACCAAGUCUAUCAAAUGAAUGCAUCAUAAUUUGUUUAACCAAUAUCUUGGUGCAUAUGUUGGUUUCCUAUUUUUCAUUAUGUAAACAGUUCUUUGAUGAAUCUAGGUGAUUUUGCACACUUUCUUGUACAUCAUAGGAGACAUUACUAGAAGUGGAGUUAACUGAAUCUGAGAGUAUGUUCUUUUGUAAUUUAGAGAAAAGCAUUCACAUUACUCUCCUCUGAAGCUGUACCAAUUUAUAGUUCCACAAACCGUAACUGAGAGUAAGGAUUGCUCUGGGAGGCUGAGGUGGUAGUGGAUACUAGCCUGGGCCCUAUAGCGAGACACCAUCUAUACAAAAACAUUAAAAAAAGUUCUACUACUAGGGUGUGGGAGAAUGCACCUGUGGUCCCAGCUGCUUGGGAGGCUGAGGUGGGAGGAUUGCCUGAGCCAGGGGGUUAAGGCUGCAGUGAAUUAUGAUUGUGACACUGCAUUCCAGCCUGGGUGACAGAGCAAGACACUGUCUCAAAAAGACAAAAAAACCCACCCCAAACAACCAACAAAAUUGGAGGCCAUGAUUUCACACCCAGUGAUCCUAAUAGCUCAAAUUUUGAAUUAGAGACUGUGGUUUUAACAUCUGCUAAAUUCCUUAUGUUGAGGAAUCACUGAGUCAAAGGUUUCAGCCUCUUUCCAAGGGGGAGAGCACGUGGACAAUUACAUCUCAUGCAGGCAUUUGGUUUUAUGGACUCACGUGCUUGUUACAAAACCAGACACAGCUUUAGGGCUUCUUAUUACCUUCCCCCACCCGUCCUUGGUAGAAGAGUCAACAAAUGACAUCUAAGCUGCCAACACAUAUUGGAAAAUGUUUGAAACUUGAGAUCUGUGGUUUAUUAUGAAACAGGCAGUGCCCUGGAGUUUGAAUUUUUUCCCAGUUGGUCUUAGUACCCUGUCUGCAGAUUGAGGGGAAAGGGCAGGAAGGGGAGUAAAUGUAGUUAAGAGCAUAGCCUCAGCUGGGUGUGGUGGCUCACGCCUGUAAUCCCAGCACACUGGGAGGCCAAGGAGGGUGGAUCGCUUGAGGUCACAAGUUCAAGACCAGCUUGGUCAACAUGGUGAAACCCCCAUCUCUACUAAAAAAUACAAAAGUUAGCCAGGUGUGGUGGUAGGUGCCUAUAAUCCUAGCUACUCGGGAGGUUGAGGCAGGAGAGUCACUUGAACCCGGGAGGCAGAGGUUUCAGUGAGCCGAGAUUGUGCCACUGCAUUCCAGCCUGGGUGACAGAGUGAGACUGUCUCAAAAAAAAAAAAAAAAAGCAUAGCCUCUAGAGUCAAACAGAUCUGACUACUACAUCUGUGCUAGGUACUUUCAGUGGUUGAAUCUUAAUGAUUCUGACUCUGUUUGCUCACAUGUAAAAUGUGGAUGAUCAUAGAACCUUUAUCACAGAUUUGUGAAGACUGCAUUGCACACUCCAUGAAAAGUUAUCCUUAGCACAGCAUCAGGCACAGGGAAGCUCAACGCCUUGAAGGUGCUGUUUUUAUUUCUAGGUCCCUAAGAUCUUCCUCGUCCUCCUUAUGGCUCCCCCCUUUAUUCUCCAUAUUUGUUCCUUCCUUGAAAGUCAAGGGUGCAGGAAGAAGAUGAUAUCCUGGAGGCCAAGCCCACACAAUUAGGACAUGUGGUGGACAUUCACCUGUUCUUAGAUCCACUGCUGCUCUUCCUCUGCUUGUCUAUCACAAGGGGCUGACACCUGCACACUAAUUCUGUCUUGAGGGAGACUGUGUAGGGGAACAUGGCCAUUUGAGUUCAUUAGGAAAGGGUUUUGAGGUCAGGACAUGGGUAUCUGGUGUACAUGGGAGUUUGGUGGCCUCUAUUGUAGGAGGCUUUGGAAAUGUGUAUUGUUGGGAGGUCCUGAGGGAGGAAGUUUGGGAUGAACAUGGAGAUUCUAGGCUGUGGAGGAAGAUGUAACAUGGCUAUUGGAGGAUUCUGGGACCUUACCUUGGUACCUUGGUACCUUGGUAAUGAGGACAUCUUCAGCUUUAUUUUUAUGUAUUUACUUUUUUUUGAGAUGGAGUCUCACUCUGUCACCCAGGUUCGAGUGCAGUGGCGUGAUCUCAAAAUACUAAAAAUUAGCUGGCUGUGUUGGUGGGCACCUGUAGUCCCAGCUACUUGGGAAGCUGAGGCAGGAGAAUCGCUUGAACCUGGGAGGCAGUGGUUGCAGUGAGCUGAGAUCACGUGGCUGCACCUCAGCCUGGGUGACAGAGUGAGACUCUGUCUCAAAAAAAAAAAAAAUGUUCAUCCCUCAGCUGCUCAGCCGGCAGUCGUUCUUUUCUCAGUAGCUGUUUUCUCCUCAGCUUUGUGGAGUCUUUCCCUCAGCCUGUGCAGCUCUGUAUUCAGCCAAUGAUUUGAGGCCACUGUAAGCAGCUCUUUCCCUUUGGAGCUCUUUUUGUAAGCAAAAGCUCAGUUUCUUACGUAAGAAAACCCAAUUCCCCUUGAGGAAGAGAAAGAGCUGGAGUCCUUUAAAAUUAACUGCCUGUUUUUCUGUGGCUAGGGAGCCUUAUCUCUCCCUUUGCCAGGCAUUGUGAAGACUCUGUUUCUCUAGCUGUGCAGCUGCAAGGUCACUAGACAGAUAAUCUCAAGUCGUAAAAUAUGCCGUUCCUUGAAAAGUAAGAAAUGAUGUAAUGCAUGUCUCUACUGAAUAAGUGUCUUUGUUUCUCGCUUCUGUUGUAUGCUUCCCCCUGCACAGAUCUCUUCCUGCCCCAGAAAUGCUUAAAAGGUAACUGGACUCUUUGUUUGGGGCUCAGUCAUUUUGGAUGUUGAUCUGACUGGGCCGGUGCACCUAAAUAAUAAUAAGAAAUCCUCCUCAACCCCUCAGUCUCUCUGAUUCCUAAAUUAUCUCACUGCAAAGGCAGGAGAAUUGCUUGAGCCCAGGAGUCUGAGACCAACCUGGGCAACAUAGUGAGACCCUGUCUCUACAAAAGAUUAAAAAAUUAGCCAGGCAUUGUGGCGCAUGCCUGUGGUCCCAGCUACUCGGGAGGCUGAGGUGGAAGGAUUGCUUGAGCCCAAGAGGUCCUGGCUAUGGUGAGCUAUGAUCACACCACUGCCUUCCAGCCUGAGUGACAGAGCAAGACCUUGUCUCAAAAAAAAAAAAAAAAAAAAUUGGGCUGGGCAUGAUGCCCCAGGCCUGUAAUCCCAGCACUUUGGGAGGCUGAGGUUGGUGGAUCACCUGAGGUCAGGAGUUCAAGACCAGCCUGUCAAACGUGGUGAAACCCUGUCUCUACUGAAAAAUACAAAAAUUAGCCAGGUGUGGUUGUGUGCACCUGUAGUCCCAGCUACUCGGGAGGCUGAGACAGGGGCCUAGGAUUAAAUAAGGAGUUUUGGCAAAACUAGGCUGGAACUCCAAAACCUGCUACAUAAGUACUCACGAGGGUUGCUAGUUAUUAGUAUUAUUACUUUGUUGUUAUUUGGCUCUGGUCAGAUUUCAAUUAACGUCACAAUAGGAUUUAAACAUUUCUUUUAUUAUUUUUAAGAUUUUAGGCCAGGCGCACUGGUUCCCAGCACGUUGGGAGGCCGACGGGGGUGGAUCACCAGAGGUCAGGGGUUGGAGACCAGCGUGGCCAACACAGUGAAACCCCUUUUUUACUAAAAAUACAAAAAAAUUAGCUGGGCGUGGUGGCAUAUGCCUGUAACCCCAGCUAUUCGGGAGGCUGAGGCCAGGAGUUUGAGACUAGCCUGGGGAAAUAGUGAGACCUUGUCUCUACCAAAACAAAACAAAACAACCAACAACAUUAGGCCAGGCGUGGUGGCUCACACCUGUAAUCCCAGUACUUUGGGGGGCUGAGGCGGGUGGUGGAUUGCCUGAGGUCAGGGGUUUGAGACCAGCCUGGGCAACAUAGUGAAACUCUGUCUCUACUAAAAUACAAAAAUUAGCUGGGCAUGGUGGUGGGCACCUGUAAUCCCAGCUACUUGGGAGGCUGAGGCAGGAGAAUCGCUUGAACCUGGGAGGCGGAGGUUGCAGUGAUCCAUGAUCCGGCCAUUGCGCUCCAGCCUGGGUGACGAAAGUGAAAUUCCAUCUCAAAAAAAAAAAAAGUUAGCUGGAUGCUGGAUGUGGUGGCAUGUGCCUAUAGUCAGCCACUCAGAAGGCUGAGGUGGGAGGAUCACUUGAGCCUAGGAGUUCAAGGCUGCAGGGAGCCGUGAUCAUACCACUGCACUCCAGCCUGGGCAACACAGCAGACUCUGUCUCAAUUAAAAAAAAAAAAAGCGCAGAAGAAUAUUGGUUUAUGGAGAGUAUUAUUUUAAGUUUUAGAAAUUUUCUAUGCAAAACAAACAAUGGAAAAUAAGAAAUGCAUUACUCUAUAAUAAAAUAUAGCCUUUUCUCUCCCAUAUAUAUAUAUGAGUGGAUAAAAACAGUCAUAACUUCCUACACAUUUAAUCCUCUAUACUAACUCUCAUACCCACUUACCACUCCCUCAAUGACAAACAUACCAAAAAGAUGCUAAAUAAAUGAAAACAAUACUUUGUAUUCUUAACUAUGUAAAGUAUUGUACUUAACAGGUAUUUUCUUGGCUGACUGGUUCUCCAUACCCAACAAACACAGUGAUGUCAACUCUCACCACUCAUAUUAAACAAUAUAGCCAUUGCUGUAAAGUACAAAAGAGAAAUGCAGUACAAAUUGAAAAGGAGGAAAUAAAACUUUUAUUCAUCGCUGAUAUUAUCAGAUACAUAAAAUCCCAAGGAGACAAAAGCUACUACUAAUGAGAUUAGAAGGAUCCCAGAAACAGACACAGACGUGCACACACACCUCCCCACAGACACAGAUACACACUCACA